UACGUAGGGUGCAAGCGUUGUCCGGAAUUAUUGGGCGUAAAGAGCUCGUAGGCGGUCUGUCGCGUCUGCUGUGAAAACUCAGGGCUUAACCCUGAGCUUGCAGUGGGUACGGGCAGACUAGAGUGCGGUAGGGGAGACUGGAAUUCCUGGUGUAGCGGUGGAAUGCGCAGAUAUCAGGAGGAACACCGAUAGCGAAGGCAGCUCGCUGGGACGGUACUGACGCUGAGGUGCGAAAGCGUGGGGAGCGAACAGG
RNAcentral lists this ribosomal RNA (253 nucleotides) under uncultured bacterium. Its description in RNAcentral is "partial 16S ribosomal RNA". It matches the Rfam family "Bacterial small subunit ribosomal RNA", at positions 524 to 776 of the family's 1533-position model. The record is from RNAcentral.